RNAcentral lists this unclassified non-coding RNA (334 nucleotides) under soil metagenome. RNAcentral's name for it is "partial contains 5.8S ribosomal RNA, internal transcribed spacer 2, and large subunit ribosomal RNA". The stretch from base 1 to 120 matches the Rfam family "5.8S ribosomal RNA", at positions 35 to 154 of the family's 154-position model. The record is from RNAcentral.
GAUGAAGAACGUAGCGAAAUGCGACACGUAAUGUGAAUUGCAGAAUUCAGUGAAUCAUCGAAUCUUUGAACGCACAUUGCGCCUGCCAGCACUCUGGCAGGCAUGCCUGUUCGAGCGUCAUUUCAACCAUCAAGCCCUAGGCUUGCGUUGGAGCCCUGCGGCUGCCGCAGGCCCCUAAAAGCAGUGGCGGGCUCGCUAUCACACCGAGUGCAGUAGAUUACUCUUCGCUCAGGGCGUGUGGCGGGUUCCAGCCGUGAAACCCCCUACUUCUCAAGGUUGACCUCGGAUCAGGUAGGAAUACCCGCUGAACUUAAGCAUAUCAAUAAGCGGAGGA